This 461-nucleotide ribosomal RNA is filed under the name uncultured bacterium. Its description in RNAcentral is "partial 16S ribosomal RNA". It matches the Rfam family "Bacterial small subunit ribosomal RNA", at positions 338 to 795 of the family's 1533-position model. The record is from RNAcentral.
CCUACGGGAGGCAGCAGUGAGGAAUAUUGGUCAAUGGACGAGAGUCUGAACCAGCCAAGUCGCGUGAAGGAUGACGGCCCUACGGGUUGUAAACUUCUUUUGUCAGGGAGCAAUUGAGUCCACGUGUGGGCUUAGCGAGAGUACCUGAAGAAAAAGCAUCGGCUAACUCCGUGCCAGCAGCCGCGGUAAUACGGAGGAUCCGAGCGUUAUCCGGAUUUAUUGGGUUUAAAGGGAGCGUAGGUGGAUUGUUAAGUCAGUUGUGAAAGUUUGCGGCUCAACCGUAAAAUUGCAGUUGAAACUGGCAGUCUUGAGUACAGUAGAGGUGGGCGGAAUUCGUGGUGUAGCGGUGAAAUGCUUAGAUAUCACGAAGAACUCCGAUUGCGAAGGCAGUUCACUGGACUGCAACUGACACUGAGGCUCGAAAGUGUGGGUAUCAAACAGGAUUAGAUACCCCUGUAGUC